AUAACAGGUCUGUGAUGCCCUUAGAUGUUCUGGGCCGCACGCGCGCUACACUGACUGGUUCAACGAGUUUUUUUCCUUGGCUCCGAGAGGCCUGGGCAAUCUUUGAACGCCAGUCGUGAUGGGGAUAGAUUCUUGCAAUUUUCAAUCUUCAACGAGGAAUUCCUAGUAAACGCAAGUCAUCAACUUGCAUUGAUUACGUCCCUGCCCUUUGUACACACCGCCCGUCGCACCUACCGAUUGAAUGGUCCGGUGAAACCUUCGGAUUGUGGUUGUUUGGCCUCUUGUAGGACAUCGACCGUGAAAAGUUGUUUUAACCUUACCAUUUAGAGGAAGGUGAAGUCGUAACGAGGUUUCCGUAGGUGAACCUGCAGAAGGAUCA
Molecule: ribosomal RNA, 379 nt
Filed under: uncultured marine eukaryote
Lineage: Eukaryota
Description: SSU rRNA
Rfam family: Eukaryotic small subunit ribosomal RNA
Source: RNAcentral